UAGGGAAUCUUCCGCAAUGGGCGAAAGCCUGACGGAGCAACGCCGCGUGAGUGAUGAAGGUCUUCGGAUCGUAAAACUCUGUUAUUAGGGAAGAACAAAUGUGUAAGUAACUAUGCACGUUUUGACGGUACCUAAUCAGAAAGCAACGGCUAACUACGUGCCAGCAGCCGCGGUAAUACGUAGGUGGCAAGCGUUAUCCGGAAUUAUUGGGCGUAAAGCGCGCGUAGGCGGUUUUUUAAGUCUGAUGUGAAAGCCCACGGCUCAACCGUGGAGGGUCAUUGGAAACUGGAAAACUUGAGUGCAGAAGAGGAAAGUGGAAUUCCAUGUGUAGCGGUGAAAUGCGCAGAGAUAUGGAGGAACACCAGUGGCGAAGGCGACUUUCUGGUCUGUAACUGACGCUGAUGUGCGAAAGCGUGGGGAUCAAACAGG
This 429-nucleotide ribosomal RNA is filed under the name Actinomycetes bacterium. RNAcentral describes it as "Actinobacteria bacterium partial 16S ribosomal RNA". It matches the Rfam family "Bacterial small subunit ribosomal RNA", at positions 355 to 776 of the family's 1533-position model. Lineage: Bacteria; Bacillati; Actinomycetota; Actinomycetes. The record is from RNAcentral.